This 506-nucleotide ribosomal RNA is filed under the name uncultured bacterium. RNAcentral's name for it is "partial 16S ribosomal RNA". It matches the Rfam family "Bacterial small subunit ribosomal RNA", at positions 29 to 523 of the family's 1533-position model. The record is from RNAcentral.
AGUGAACGCUGGCGGUAGGCCUAACACAUGCAAGUCGAACGGCAGCACAGGAGAGCUUGCUCUCUGGGUGGCGAGUGGCGGACGGGUGAGGAAUACAUCGGAAUCUACUCUGUCGUGGGGGAUAACGUAGGGAAACUUACGCUAAUACCGCAUACGACGUUCGGGUGAAAGCCGGGGAUCUUCGGACCUUGCGCGAUUGACUGGGCCGAUGUCGGAUUAGCUAGUUGGCGGGGUAAAGGCCCACCAAGGCGACGAUCCGUGGCUGGUCUGAGAGGAUGAUCAGCCACACUGGAACUGAGACACGGUCCAGACUCCUACGGGAGGCAGCAGUGGGGAAUAUUGGACAAUGGGCGCAAGCCUGAUCCAGCCAUACCGCGUGGGUGAAGAAGGCCUUCGGGUUGUAAAGCCCUUUUGUUGGGAAAGAAAUCCAGCUGACUAAUACCCGGUUGGGAUGACGGUACCCAAAGAAUAAGCACCGGCUAACUUCGUGCCAGCCGCCGCAGUAA